RNAcentral lists this long non-coding RNA (376 nucleotides) under Bos taurus (domestic cattle). RNAcentral describes it as "long non-coding RNA NONBTAT021888". The record is from RNAcentral. Lineage: Eukaryota; Metazoa; Chordata; Mammalia; Artiodactyla; Bovidae.
UUCAGAGUAGUUAUUAUAUUUAGCUAGAUAACCCUAACACUUAAGUUAUUUCCAGUACUGUAGGAAAUCUUUAAGUACUGUAGCAGCAAUUUAGUCAUUUUUUGUUGAAAUAUAUAGUAAAGCAUAGGCUGCUUCUGCCAUGUAUAAAAAUGCAACACAUCAAAUUAUGCUCUCAUCUGUUCAAAAUCUUUCUUUAUAUGUAGUGAUAAAAUGAGUAUCUUGUAUUUUCCUUCUGAUCAUUUGGGGAAUAAAUUAGCUGUACAGCUGUUUCUUAAAAGAGUAAAAAAUAAUACCUUUAACAUUUGUAAGGAAAUGACAAAAUGUUUUGCCAAUUAAGAAUUUUAAAAGUGCUGAUGUCACAGAAAUAAAGUAAGUG